RNAcentral lists this ribosomal RNA (459 nucleotides) under uncultured bacterium. RNAcentral's name for it is "partial 16S ribosomal RNA". It matches the Rfam family "Bacterial small subunit ribosomal RNA", at positions 338 to 795 of the family's 1533-position model. The record is from RNAcentral.
CCUACGGGAGGCUGCAGUGAGGAAUAUUGGUCAAUGGCCGGAAGGCUGAACCAGCCAAGCCGCGUGAAGGACGAAGGUGCCAAGCAUUGUAAACUUCUUUUGUCAAGGGACAAAAUCAGGCUCGAGAGCCUGACCGAGGGUACUUGAAGAAACAGCAUCGGCUAACUCCGGACCAGCAGCCGCGGUAAUACGGAGGAUGCGAGCGUUAUCCGGAUUUAUUGGGUUUAAAGGGUGCGUAGGCGGACUGUUAAGUUAGCGUGAAAAGCCAGGGGCUCAACCCCGGAGAGCCGUUGAAACUGGGUGGCUUGAGAUGUCGAGAGGUAUGCGGAAUGCGCAGUGUAGCGGUGAAAUGCUUAGAUAUUGCGCAGAACUCCGAUGGCGAAGGCAGCAUACCGGCGGCGAUCUGACGUUGAGGCACGAAAGCGUGGGUAUCGAACAGGAUUAGAUACCCGGGUAGUC